RNAcentral lists this ribosomal RNA (479 nucleotides) under uncultured bacterium. RNAcentral describes it as "partial 16S ribosomal RNA". It matches the Rfam family "Bacterial small subunit ribosomal RNA", at positions 28 to 507 of the family's 1533-position model. The record is from RNAcentral.
GAUGAACGCUAGCGGGAGGCCUAACACAUGCAAGCCGAGCGGUAGAGUCUCUUCGGAGACUUGAGAGCGGCGCACGGGUGCGGAACACGUGUGCAACCUGCCUUUAUCUGGGGGAUAGCCAUCCGAAGGGAAGAUUAAUACACCAUAAUAUAUUGGAUGUCAUCAUCUGGAAUUGAAAACUCUGGUGGAUAGAGAUGAGUAGGCGCAGGACUAGAUAGUUGGUGAGGUAACGACUCACUAAGUCAGCUAUCUUUAGGGGGCCGGAGAGGGUGAUCCCCCAGACUGGGACAGAGACACGGACCAGACGCCUACGAGAGGCAGCAGUGAGGAAUAUUGGGCAAUGGGUGAGAGCCUGAUCCAGCCAGCCCGCGUGAAGGACGACGGCCCUAUGGAUUGUAAACUUCUUUUGUAUAGGGAUAAACCUAGAUACGUGUAUUUAGCUGAAGGUACUAUACGAAUAAGCACCGGCUAACUCCGUG